AGCUUUGUUCAGUGGUAGUAUUGUAGCCAAUGAAAUUUAUCUGAGGAGCAAUUACUGCUAUUUUAAUUGUAUGAAAAAG
Molecule: small nuclear RNA, 79 nt
Organism: Fukomys damarensis (Damara mole-rat)
Lineage: Eukaryota; Metazoa; Chordata; Mammalia; Rodentia; Bathyergidae
Gene: U4
Rfam family: U4 spliceosomal RNA
About the family: U4 small nuclear RNA (U4 snRNA) is a component of the major U2-dependent spliceosome. The structure of U4 snRNA from yeast and human has been reported. U4 snRNA presents a k-turn RNA motif in the 5p-SL related to recognition of Snu13 protein.
Source: Ensembl